GAUGAACGCUGGCGGCGUGCCUAAUACAUGCAAGUCGAGCGAACAGACGAGGAGCUUGCUCCUCUGACGUUAGCGGCGGACGGGUGAGUAACACGUGGAUAACCUACCUAUAAGACUGGGAUAACUUCGGGAAACCGGAGCCAAUACCGGAUAAUAUAUUGAACCGCAUGGUUCAAUAGUUAAAGACGGUUUUGCUGUCACUUAUAGAUGGAUCCGCGCCGCAUUAGCUAGUUGGUAAGGUAACGGUUUACCAAGGCAACGAGGCGUAGCCGACCUGAGAGGGUGAUCGGCCACACUGGAACUGGGACAGGGUCCAGACUCCUACGGGAGGCAGCAGUAGGGGAUCUUCCGCAAUGGGCGAAAGCCUGACGGAGCAACGCCGCGUGAGUGAUGAAGGUCUUCGGAUCGUAAAACUCUGUUAUUAGGGAAGAACAAAUGUGUAAGUAACUAUGCACGUCUUGACGGUACCUAAUCAGAAAGCCACGGCUAACUACGUG
This 497-nucleotide ribosomal RNA is filed under the name uncultured bacterium. RNAcentral describes it as "partial 16S ribosomal RNA". It matches the Rfam family "Bacterial small subunit ribosomal RNA", at positions 28 to 507 of the family's 1533-position model. The record is from RNAcentral.